This 577-nucleotide unclassified non-coding RNA is filed under the name Hevea brasiliensis (rubber tree). Lineage: Eukaryota; Viridiplantae; Streptophyta; Magnoliopsida; Malpighiales; Euphorbiaceae. The record is from RNAcentral.
UGCCAUGAAAGACAAGCUUGAUAUCUCUUUGGGAGUGGCAAUAGGCUCAUCAACACAGAUAUCAAUGUUUGGGAUACCUUUCCUUGUCGUUGUUGGCUGGAUCACGGGGCAUCCCAUGGACUUAAAUUUUCAACUUUUUGAGACAGCAACACUUUUUAUAACUGUUCUAGUGGUAGCCUUUAUGUUGAAGGAGGGAACUUCUAAUUACUUUAAAGGAUUAAUGCUCAUCCUCUGCUACCUAAUAGUUGCUGCAAGUUUCUUUGUACAUAUGGACCCUUCUUCGAUAGGGGAUCCGCCAAAACCGAGCGAAUAAAGAAAAUGGAUUAAUCAAGAGAAUACACUUGAGCUUGAGGACUUUGAUUACACAUCUGUUUGAAGAUGAGCAGAUACAGGCUUUAGCUUGCAACUUGAAACUUAGUGUAGGACUAAUAGUGAAAGUGAAGCAAGAAAUACAUGUAAAAAAAAAAAAAUUGCUAACCCUUGUAACUUCCUUUACUCUUUUGCUUAUACUUUACAUUAUUGAAUCUAUUAUGUUAUAUCAGUGAAAUUUUAGGUUAGCCUAUCUUUUUUGUAAGAG